GUCGUUGUAUAACCAUUCAUCAACGGAUGCAGCUUCCCAUAUUGGGUAAAAGUGCAAACCGAUAGCCGCAGAAGUAGGAAUAAUGGCACCAGAAAUAAUAUUGUUUCCGUAAAGUAGAGAUCCAGAAACAGGCUCACGAAUACCAUCAAUAUCUACUGGAGGAGCUGCGAUGAAAGCGAUAAUAAAUACAGAAGUUGCGGUCAAUAAGGUAGGGAUCAUCAAAACACAAAACCAUCCAAUGUAAAGACGGUUUUCAGUGCUGGUUAUCCAGUUACAGAAGCGACCCCAUAGGUUUUCGCUAUCGCCUCUCUCUAAAAUUGCAGUCAUGGUAAAAUCUUGGGUUUAUUUAAAUUUAAUUAUCAGGGACUCCCAAGCACACGAAUUCUCUAUAAGUAUAGAAUUAAGGGCUUGUUAUUCAACA
Molecule: long non-coding RNA, 421 nt
Filed under: Medicago truncatula (barrel medic)
Lineage: Eukaryota; Viridiplantae; Streptophyta; Magnoliopsida; Fabales; Fabaceae
Description: long non-coding RNA (MTRU_LNC008838)
Source: RNAcentral